UCCUACGGGAGGCAGCAGUGGGGAAUAUUGGACAAUGGGGGGAACCCUGAUCCAGCCAUGCCGCGUGUGUGAAGAAGGCCCUCGGGUUGUAAAGCACUUUCAGCGAGGAAGAACGCCUAGCGGUUAAUACCCGCUAGGAAAGACAUCACUCGCAGAAGAAGCACCGGCCAACUCCGUGCCAGCAGCCGCGGUAAUACGGAGGGUGCAAGCGUUAAUCGGAAUUACUGGGCGUAAAGCGCGCGUAGGUGGCUUGAUAAGCCGGUUGUGAAAGCCCCGGGCUCAACCUGGGAACGGCAUCCGGAACUGUCAAGCUAGAGUGCAGGAGAGGAAGGUAGAAUUCCCGGUGUAGCGGUGAAAUGCGUAGAGAUCGGGAGGAAUACCAGUGGCGAAGGCGGCCUUCUGGACUGACACUGACACUGAGGUGCGAAAGCGUGGGUAGCAAACAGGAUUAGAUACCCUGGUAGUCCACGCCGUAAACGAUGUCGACCAGCCGUUGGGUGCCUAGCGCACUUUGUGGCGAAGUUAACGCGAUAAGUCGACCGCCUGGGGAGUACGGCCGCAAGGUUAAAACUCAAAUGAAUUGACGG
Molecule: ribosomal RNA, 587 nt
Filed under: uncultured bacterium
Lineage: Bacteria
Description: bacterial SSU rRNA
Rfam family: Bacterial small subunit ribosomal RNA
Source: RNAcentral